Molecule: small nuclear RNA, 99 nt
Filed under: Neotoma lepida (desert woodrat)
Lineage: Eukaryota; Metazoa; Chordata; Mammalia; Rodentia; Cricetidae
Source: RNAcentral
GCAUGCUUGGUGGCACACACUAAACUUGGAAUGACAUAGUGGGGAGCAGCAUGGCACUGCACAAGGAUGACACAAAUUAGGGAGGUACUUUACCUUUUU